RNAcentral lists this ribosomal RNA (259 nucleotides) under uncultured prokaryote. RNAcentral describes it as "partial 16S ribosomal RNA". It matches the Rfam family "Bacterial small subunit ribosomal RNA", at positions 526 to 784 of the family's 1533-position model. The record is from RNAcentral.
CGGAGGGUGCAAGCGUUGUUCGGAAUUACUGGGCGUAAAGGGCGCGCAGGCGGCCUGCCAAGUCAGAUGUGAAAUGCCAUGGCUUAACCAUGGACGUGCACUUGAAACUGGAGGACUUGAGUUAAGGAGAGGAAAGUGGAAUUCCUAGUGUAGAGGUGAAAUGCGUAGAUAUUAGGAGGAACACCAGUGGCGAAGGCGGCUUUCUGGACAGUAACUGACGCUGAGGCGCGAAAGCGUGGGGAGCAAACAGGAUUAGAUA